CCUACGGGAGGCAGCAGUGGGGAAUAUUGCACAAUGGAGGAAACUCUGAUGCAGCAACGCCGCGUGAAUGAUGAAGGCCUUCGGGUCGUAAAGUUCUUUGAUUGGGGACGAUAAUGACGGUACCCAAAAAACAAGCCACGGCUAACUACGUGCCAGCAGCCGCGGUAAUA
RNAcentral lists this ribosomal RNA (170 nucleotides) under uncultured bacterium. RNAcentral describes it as "partial 16S ribosomal RNA". It matches the Rfam family "Bacterial small subunit ribosomal RNA", at positions 338 to 525 of the family's 1533-position model. The record is from RNAcentral.